This is a non-coding RNA of Cordylochernes scorpioides, 73 nucleotides long. Lineage: Eukaryota; Metazoa; Arthropoda; Arachnida; Pseudoscorpiones; Chernetidae. The record is from the annotation of a GenBank genome assembly.
UCCAGGGUAGCCUAGUGGACAUGGCAUCUGCCCGGUAAGCGGAACACUGUGGGUUCGAUUCCCAUCCUUGGAC